Molecule: long non-coding RNA, 300 nt
Filed under: Homo sapiens (human)
Lineage: Eukaryota; Metazoa; Chordata; Mammalia; Primates; Hominidae
Description: non-protein coding lnc-ANTXR2-1:4
Source: RNAcentral
AGAUCCUGAGCGCCUACCCCGGGUGGCAACGCCUCUCAGAGAGCGUCCCGGCCCGCCUCCUCCUAAAGCUCGGGCCCUCUGGGACUGCUAGGAGGGGAAAAUCGUUUCAGGAUUGGAAAGGAAGGUACCAAAAUGAUUGGAGAGGGCCUUUCCCCGUUUCACUAGGCACUUGGAGAAGCUGUGACAGAGAGCUGGACACCCAGCGCGUGCGGACCCCGUGCGUAUUUCCCCGGAGUCCGCGUUCCGUGAAAGGGAGAGGGGUGCGGUUAGCUCCAGGGAUUCUCUAGCCCUGGAGCCACC